CCGGCUUCGAGCAUUCUGGACGCAUCCUGAUGGGGCCCACAUUCCUCAACUACUCUGUGAGCUGCUAUUACCAUGAUGGGCACCUGGAGCUCUCCGGCCGGAGCUGGCACAACAGUGAGGCUUUGUUGUGGGCAGGGUUCCCAGGCGAGGCCUGCCUUAGUGCUGAGCUGCAGAUACACGAGACCCAGACCCAGGCCAGGGUGGCCCUCCAUGGUGGGGACAGUGGAGUCAGCAUGGACCUGGCAGCCCUGGUGGCUCGGCCACGACGUGGCCCACUGCAGCUGGUGGCCAGUGCCAGCCACACAGUGCCUGCUCUCCAGAGGCUGGGCCUGCCCUUCACCAACCAGCUCGUGUUCCAAGGACUCUGGGAGGCAGAAGAGAUGAGCUCCUCACUGCAGCUGACCUGCGAUUCUCAGGCCACCUUGGUCCUUGACGUCCGUGGCCAGAACCAGGCAGUCAGCAAAGAGCUGCUGUUCUCAGGCCGGCAUCGCCUCCCCUUCCUCCUGGGUCUCUGCCCCAGCUCAGCCUCAGCCUCAGCUAAGCUACACUACUCCAAG
Molecule: long non-coding RNA, 557 nt
Filed under: Homo sapiens (human)
Lineage: Eukaryota; Metazoa; Chordata; Mammalia; Primates; Hominidae
Description: non-protein coding lnc-PRM1-6:1
Source: RNAcentral